UGCAGCGACGCCGCGUGAGGGAUGAAGGCCUUCGGGUUGUAAACCUCUUUCAGCAGGGACGAAGCGAAAGUGACGGUACCUGCAGAAGAAGCACCGGCUAACUACGUGCCAGCAGCCGCGGUAAUACGUAGGGUGCGAGCGUUGUCCGGAAUUACUGGGCGUAAAGAGUUCGUAGGCGGUUUGUCGCGUCGUCUGUGAAAACCCAUCGCUCAACGAUGGGCCGGCAGGCGAUACGGGCAGACUUGAGUACUGCAGGGGAGACUGGAAUUCCUGGUGUAGCGGUGAAAUGCGCAGAUAUCAGGAGGAACACCGGUGGCGAAGGCGGGUCUCUGGGCAGUAACUGACGCUGAGGAACGAAAGCGUGGGUAGCAAACAGGAUUAGAUACCCUGGUAGUCCACGCCGUAAACGGUGGGCGCUAGGUGUGGGUUCCUUCCACGGGAUCUGUGCCGUAGCUAACGCAUUAAGCGCCCCGCCUGGGGAGUACGGCCGCAAGGCUAAAACUCAAAGGAAUUGACGGGGGCCCGCACAAGCGGCGGAGCAUGUGGAUUAAUUCGAUGCAACGCGAAGAACCUUACCUGGGUUUGACAUAUACUGGAAAGCUGCAGAGAUGUAGCCCCCCUUGUGGCCGG
RNAcentral lists this ribosomal RNA (630 nucleotides) under Rhodococcus sp. So2Pw_1240. Its description in RNAcentral is "bacterial SSU rRNA". It matches the Rfam family "Bacterial small subunit ribosomal RNA", at positions 387 to 1030 of the family's 1533-position model. The record is from RNAcentral. Lineage: Bacteria; Bacillati; Actinomycetota; Actinomycetes; Mycobacteriales; Nocardiaceae.